UAAUCAAGUGUUUUUAUGGCACUUUCAAAAAAUCCAUAUCCACCUUGUGUGCAAUGUCAUCUCUCUGGGGGCUGCCGGCUGUCAAAGCCGUGUGGUCACCUUUGGGAUUUAUAUCUACUCAGAACUUUAGUGAUUUUGUUCUGAAACAUAUUAUGAAUACUUAAUUCAAAAUA
This 173-nucleotide unclassified non-coding RNA is filed under the name soil metagenome. Its description in RNAcentral is "partial internal transcribed spacer 1". The record is from RNAcentral.